RNAcentral lists this long non-coding RNA (348 nucleotides) under Populus trichocarpa (black cottonwood). RNAcentral's name for it is "long non-coding RNA (PTRI_LNC002951)". The record is from RNAcentral. Lineage: Eukaryota; Viridiplantae; Streptophyta; Magnoliopsida; Malpighiales; Salicaceae.
AAUCACAAGCACUUAACAAGGAUUCAACAUUACAAGUUCCAUUUGCUAAAUAACAAAAUAGUGGUGCCCUCUCAUUGUCAAGCAUAUUCAAAACACGAACUGGCAUCUUCUCUUUUCCAUUAGAAAUAUCAUCCAUCAAAACAUGCCCAAACACGAACUGGCAUCUUCUCUUUUCCAUUAGAAAUAUCAUCCAUCAAAACAUGCCCUCAAUUGCUUGCUAAAUCCUCAAGGUAACUGCGGUUGAUCCAAAUUUCUCUUUAACUUGAAUUUAUAGACAAGUUUACCAAAUUCUCCUCUUUCUUCCCAAAAUUUUUCAACUGUGAAAAGACCAUCAUAGACAUAUAUUGG